UGGGGAAUAUUGGACAAUGGGGGAAACCCUGAUCCAGCAAUGCCGCGUGAGUGAAGAAGGCCUUAGGGUUGUAAAGCUCUUUCGCCCGCGAAGAUAAUGACGGUAGCGGGAGAAGAAGCCCCGGCUAACUCCGUGCCAGCAGCCGCGGUAAUACGGAGGGGGCUAGCGUUGUUCGGAAUUACUGGGCGUAAAGCGUACGUAGGCGGAUGCGCAAGUUGGGGGUGAAAUCCCGGGGCUUAACCUCGGAAUUGCCCUCAAAACUGCACGUCUUGAGACCGAGAGAGGUAAGGGGAAUUCCUAGUGUAGAGGUGAAAUUCGUAGAUAUUAGGAAGAACACCAGUGGCGAAGGCGCCUUACUGGCUCGGUACUGACGCUGAGGUACGAAAGCGCGGGGAGCAAACA
This 402-nucleotide ribosomal RNA is filed under the name uncultured bacterium. RNAcentral's name for it is "bacterial SSU rRNA". It matches the Rfam family "Bacterial small subunit ribosomal RNA", at positions 355 to 774 of the family's 1533-position model. The record is from RNAcentral.